GAUCAUGGCUCAGGAUGAACGCUGGCGGCGUGCUUAACACAUGCAAGUCGAACGAAGCACCUUGAUUUGAUUCUUCGGAUGAAGACCUUGGUGACUGAGUGGCGGACGGGUGAGUAACGCGUGGGUAACCUGCCGUCAUACAGGGGGAUAACAGUUAGAAAUGACUGCUAAUACCGCAUAAGACCACAGUACCGCAUGGUACAGGGGUAAAAACUCCGGUGGUAUGAGAUGGACCCGCGU
RNAcentral lists this ribosomal RNA (240 nucleotides) under uncultured bacterium. RNAcentral's name for it is "partial 16S ribosomal RNA". It matches the Rfam family "Bacterial small subunit ribosomal RNA", at positions 15 to 236 of the family's 1533-position model. The record is from RNAcentral.